RNAcentral lists this ribosomal RNA (253 nucleotides) under uncultured bacterium. Its description in RNAcentral is "partial 16S ribosomal RNA". It matches the Rfam family "Bacterial small subunit ribosomal RNA", at positions 524 to 776 of the family's 1533-position model. The record is from RNAcentral.
UACGUAGGGUGCGAGCGUUGUCCGGAAUCAUUGGGCGUAAAGCGCGUGUAGGCGGCCAGAAAAGUCCGCUGUGAAAACUCGAGGCUCAACUUCGAGCUGUCGGUGGAAACUUCCUGGCUAUAGUCCGGAAGAGGAGAGUGGAAUUCCCGGUGUAGCGGUGAAAUGCGCAGAUAUCGGGAAGAACACCCAUGGCGAAGGCAGCUCUCUGGGACGGUACUGACGCUGAGACGCGAAAGCGUGGGGAGCAAACAGG